Molecule: ribosomal RNA, 484 nt
Filed under: uncultured bacterium
Lineage: Bacteria
Description: partial 16S ribosomal RNA
Rfam family: Bacterial small subunit ribosomal RNA
Source: RNAcentral
GAUGAACGCUGGCGGCGUGCUUAACACAUGCAAGUCGAACGGUGAAGCAGGAGCUUGCUCUUGUGGAUCAGUGGCGAACGGGUGAGUAACACGUGAGCAACCUGCCCCUGACUCUGGGAUAAGCGCUGGAAACGGCGUCUAAUACUGGAUAUGUGAUGUGACCGCAUGGUCUGCAUCUGGAAAGAAUUUCGGUUGGGGAUGGGCGCGCGGCCUAUCAGCUUGUUGGUGAGGUAAUGGCUCACCAAGGCGUCGAUGGGUAGCCGGCCUGAGAGGGGGACCGGCCACACUGGGACUGAGACACGGCCCAGACUCCUACGGGAGGCAGCAGUGGGGAAUAUCGCACAAUGGGCGGAAGCCUGAUGCAGCAACGCCGCGUGAGGGAUGACGGCCUUCGGGUUGUAAACCUCUUUUAGCAGGGAAGAAGCGAAAGUGACGGUACCUGCAGAAAAAGCACCGGCUAACUACGUGCCAGCCGCCGCGGUAA